RNAcentral lists this ribosomal RNA (463 nucleotides) under uncultured bacterium. RNAcentral's name for it is "partial 16S ribosomal RNA". It matches the Rfam family "Bacterial small subunit ribosomal RNA", at positions 32 to 523 of the family's 1533-position model. The record is from RNAcentral.
AAUCAACGCUGGCGGCGUGCCUAACACAUGCAAGUCGCACGAGAAAGGGUCUUCGGAUCUGAGUAAAGUGGCGCACGGGUGAGUAACACGUGAAUUAUCUACCUUCGAGUGGGGAAUAACUUCGGGAAACCGAGGCUAAUACCGCAUAAUAUCUAAGGAUCAAAGCAGUAAUGCGCUUGAAGAGGAGUUCGCGGCAGAUCAGUUAGUUGGCGGGGUAAUGGCCCACCAAGACGAUGAUCUGUAUCCGGCCUGAGAGGGCGCACGGACACACUGGAACUGAAACACGGUCCAGACUCCUACGGGGGGCAGCAGUGGGGAAUUCUGCGCAAUGGGGGAAACCCUGACGCAGCAACGCCGCGUGGAGGAUGAAGUCUCUUGGGACGUAAACUCCUUUCGAUAGGGAAGAUUAUGACGGUACCUAUAGAAGAAGCCCCGGCUAACUUCGUGCCAGCCGCCGCCGUAA